GUUAUAUGGUCAAGUGAAGAAGCGCAUACGGUGGAUGCCUUGGCAGUCAGAGGCGAUGAAAGACGUGGUAGCCUGCGAAAAGCUUCGGGGAGUCGGCAAACAGACUGUGAUCCGGAGAUGUCUGAAUGGGGGAACCCAGCCAUCAUAAGAUGGUUAUCUUGUACUGAAUACAUAGGUGCAAGAGGCGAACCAGGGGAACUGAAACAUCUAAGUACCCUGAGGAAAAGAAAUCAACCGAGAUUCCCUUAGUAGUGGCGAGCGAACGGGGACCAGCCCUUAAGUUGUAUUGAGAUUAGCGGAACACUCUGGAAAGGGUGGCCAUAGUGGGUGAUAGCCCUGUACGCGAAAAUCCCUUUGCAAUGAAAUCGAGUAGGACGGGGCACGAGAAACCUUGUCUGAAUAUGGGGGGACCAUCCUCCAAGGCUAAAUACUACUGACUGACCGAUAGUGAACCAGUACCGUGAGGGAAAGGCGAAAAGAACCGCGGAGAGCGGAGUGAAAUAGAUCCUGAAACCGUAUGCGUACAAGCAGUGGGAGCCCACUUUGUUGGGUGACUGCGUACCUUUUGUAUAAUGGGUCAGCGACUUAUUUUCAGUGGCGAGCUUAACCGAAUAGGGGAGGCGUAGCGAAAGCGAGUCUUAAUAGGGCGUCUAGUCGCUGGGAAUAGACCCGAAACCGGGCGAUCUAUCCAUGGGCAGGUUGAAGGUUGGGUAACACUAACUGGAGGACCGAACCGACUACCGUUGAAAAGUUAGCGGAUGACCUGUGGAUCGGAGUGAAAGGCUAAUCAAGCUCGGAGAUAGCUGGUUCUCCUCGAAAGCUAUUUAGGUAGCGCCUCAUGUAUCACUGUAGGGGGUAGAGCACUGUUUCGGCUAGGGGGUCAUCCCGACUUACCAAACCGAUGCAAACUCCGAAUACCUACAAGUGCCGAGCAUGGGAGACACACGGCGGGUGCUAACGUCCGUCGUGAAAAGGGAAACAACCCAGACCGUCAGCUAAGGUCCCAAAGUCAUGGUUAAGUGGGAAACGAUGUGGGAAGGCUUAGACAGCUAGGAGGUUGGCUUAGAAGCAGCCACCCUUUAAAGAAAGCGUAAUAGCUCACUAGUCGAGUCGGCCUGCGCGGAAGAUGUAACGGGGCUCAAACCAUGCACCGAAGCUACGGGUAUCAUCUUAGGAUGAUGCGGUAGAGGAGCGUUCUGUAAGCCUGUGAAGGUGAGUUGAGAAGCUUGCUGGAGGUAUCAGAAGUGCGAAUGCUGACAUGAGUAACGACAAUGGGUGUGAAAAACACCCACGCCGAAAGACCAAGGUUUCCUGCGCAACGUUAAUCGACGCAGGGUUAGUCGGUCCCUAAGGCGAGGCUGAAAAGCGUAGUCGAUGGAAAACAGGUUAAUAUUCCUGUACUUCUGGUUAUUGCGAUGGAGGGACGGAGAAGGCUAGGCCAGCCUGGCGUUGGUUGUCCAGGUUUAAGGUGGUAGGCUGAGAUCUUAGGUAAAUCCGGGAUCUUAAGGCCGAGAGCUGAUGACGAGUGUUCUUUUAGAACACGAAGUGGUUGAUGCCAUGCUUCCAAGAAAAGCUUCUAAGCUUCAGGUAACCAGGAACCGUACCCCAAACCGACACAGGUGGUUGGGUAGAGAAUACCAAGGCGCUUGAGAGAACUCGGGUGAAGGAACUAGGCAAAAUGGCACCGUAACUUCGGGAGAAGGUGCGCCGGUGGAGGUGAAGCAUUUACUGCGUAAGCCCCUGCCGGUCGAAGAUACCAGGCCGCUGCGACUGUUUAUUAAAAACACAGCACUCUGCAAACACGAAAGUGGACGUAUAGGGUGUGACGCCUGCCCGGUGCCGGAAGGUUAAUUGAUGGGGUUAGCGCAAGCGAAGCUCUUGAUCGAAGCCCCGGUAAACGGCGGCCGUAACUAUAACGGUCCUAAGGUAGCGAAAUUCCUUGUCGGGUAAGUUCCGACCUGCACGAAUGGCGUAACGAUGGCGGCGCUGUCUCCACCCGAGACUCAGUGAAAUUGAAAUCGCUGUGAAGAUGCAGUGUAUCCGCGGCUAGACGGAAAGACCCCGUGAACCUUUACUAUAGCUUUGCACUGGACUUUGAAUUUGCUUGUGUAGGAUAGGUGGGAGGCUUUGAAGCGUGGACGCCAGUCUGCGUGGAGCCAACCUUGAAAUACCACCCUGGCAACUUUGAGGUUCUAACUCAGGUCCGUUAUCCGGAUCGAGGACAGUGUAUGGUGGGUAGUUUGACUGGGGCGGUCUCCUCCUAAAGAGUAACGGAGGAGUACGAAGGUGCGCUCAGACCGGUCGGAAAUCGGUCGUAGAGUAUAAAGGCAAAAGCGCGCUUGACUGCGAGACAGACACGUCGAGCAGGUACGAAAGUAGGUCUUAGUGAUCCGGUGGUUCUGUAUGGAAGGGCCAUCGCUCAACGGAUAAAAGGUACUCCGGGGAUAACAGGCUGAUACCGCCCAAGAGUUCAUAUCGACGGCGGUGUUUGGCACCUCGAUGUCGGCUCAUCACAUCCUGGGGCUGAAGCCGGUCCCAAGGGUAUGGCUGUUCGCCAUUUAAAGUGGUACGCGAGCUGGGUUUAGAACGUCGUGAGACAGUUCGGUCCCUAUCUGCCGUGGACGUUUGAGAUUUGAGAGGGGCUGCUCCUAGUACGAGAGGACCGGAGUGGACGAACCUCUGGUGUUCCGGUUGUCACGCCAGUGGCAUUGCCGGGUAGCUAUGUUCGGAAAAGAUAACCGCUGAAAGCAUCUAAGCGGGAAACUUGCCUCAAGAUGAGAUCUCACUGGAACCUUGAGUUCCCUAAAGGGCCGUCGAAGACUACGACGUUGAUAGGUUGGGUGUGUAAGCGCUGUGAGGCGUUGAGCUAACCAAUACUAAUUGCCCGUGAGGCUUGACCAUAUAACACCCAAGCAAUU
RNAcentral lists this ribosomal RNA (2918 nucleotides) under Pseudomonas congelans. Its description in RNAcentral is "23S ribosomal RNA". It matches the Rfam family "Bacterial large subunit ribosomal RNA". Lineage: Bacteria; Pseudomonadati; Pseudomonadota; Gammaproteobacteria; Pseudomonadales; Pseudomonadaceae. The record is from RNAcentral.